GACAAGUAUAUUAUAACAACAACAACAAUAAAGAAUAGAGCCGUUAGGACCCUUAACUUCAAGAAUAAUGAAGCAACAAUAACAACAACAACAAGAGUAUGAGGUGGUAGGGCCGUCACGACCCUUAACUUCAACAAUAACAACAAUUUUAUCUUUUAAAAAUGGUGAAACAAACAUCACAAAAUGGAUUAUAAGAAGCACAACAUCCAGUUUUUCCCCAUCAUAAAUGGACUGCAGAAAAUGGCAUUGUACGAGACAAAGUCUAGGCUGUACUUGAUUGUUCCAACAACACCCAAACAAAGUUCAGAGUGUUAAAAAUUGACCGUACCGAGUCUCACACACUAAAUAUUACCGAUGAUAAGGUAGAAUAUAGCCAAAGACAAAUUAAAGAAUUGUUGGGCAUGAUCAAUGAAGGUAACCGAGCACAGUCUGGUCAACGACAAAUGUUUGGACUAUCAAGAACUGUAUCAGCAUUUGGGAUUGUUGGGUUUGUAAGGUUCUUAGAGGGAUACUACAUCAUCUUAGUGACUAAAAGAAGAAAAGUUGCUGUAAUAGGCUUACACACAAUUUACAAGGUAUGUUAUCUAUUUUUCCUCUGAACUAAAU
This is a non-coding RNA of Cherax quadricarinatus, 606 nucleotides long. Lineage: Eukaryota; Metazoa; Arthropoda; Malacostraca; Decapoda; Parastacidae. The record is from RefSeq and is a predicted model, not a curated record.